GCCGGGGUGGCGGAACUGGGAGACGCGGCAGACUUAAAAUCUGCUGGGCCUGACGGUCCGUGGGGGUUCGAGUCCCCCUCCCGGCACCA
RNAcentral lists this transfer RNA (89 nucleotides) under Candidatus Rokuibacteriota bacterium. RNAcentral's name for it is "Candidatus Rokubacteria bacterium tRNA-Leu". It matches the Rfam family "tRNA". Rfam says of the family: Transfer RNA (tRNA) molecules are approximately 80 nucleotides in length. Their secondary structure includes four short double-helical elements and three loops (D, anti-codon, and T loops). Further hydrogen bonds mediate the characteristic L-shaped molecular structure. tRNAs have two regions of fundamental functional importance: the anti-codon, which is responsible for specific mRNA codon recognition, and the 3' end, to which the tRNAs corresponding amino acid is attached (by aminoacyl-tRNA synthetases). tRNAs cope with the degeneracy of the genetic code in two manners: having more than one tRNA (with a specific anti-codon) for a particular amino acid; and 'wobble' base-pairing, i.e. permitting non-standard base-pairing at the 3rd anti-codon position. The record is from RNAcentral. Lineage: Bacteria; Candidatus Rokuibacteriota.